CAAAAUUUACAAACUCAAAUAAUACAAAACUUUAAAGCCCAAAUGGCCCGCAACUUAAACUAUUUUCAGUAAAACUAAAAAUUUUAGUCGUCGUUCCUCUCGCGCCGCCCGAGGCACUUCGUCCCGAGGCCUGACGCCACUGGCGCCAUUGCACCAAAACGACAAAGGCAACCCUUCUCUCAUCUCUGUUGACCACGCACGGUACCUGAUAAAAGAACGAAAAAGGACAGAACAACAAAGAAAUAACGCAACAGAAACAAUAGAAACAUUGAAAAUAUAUAGAAAAAUCAAGAUCUAAUGUAUUAUUCGGCUAUAAAAGCCAGGUCCACCAUGUAUUCUUUUACACACACGAAAAGCAAUAAAAAAACAACAGAAUAGAAAAUUUUAAAGGUGAUUUUUUUCUAUUUUCUUAAGAAUUUAUUUUUAUAAAUAAAACAUAAAAUAAAAAGGAAAAGUUUAAAAACCGCACCUGACGGUUUGCAUUCCGUUGUCGUGAAUGGCCGAGGCUGUCGUCUCUGAUGAAAGGUGACUCCCUUCCAAAGACCCUAAAAUCGAAGGGUUCUUCUUUUCUUUUCUUUUUUUGCGAUUUUAACGUUUAAAAAAAAUAACUCCAAAUCGGGGUUUGGAGAGUCAAAAAGCAAAAAAAAAUGGGCCCUUUUGCUUUUUUGGCCACCAUGGGCGGCGGCGCUGUCAUCGGUGAUCGGUGGCCGCCACGGUGUCUGAUGGGCGGAGCCAACGCCGGACCUAGGGACUGAGAGAGAAAAAGGAG
Molecule: long non-coding RNA, 769 nt
Filed under: Gossypium barbadense (sea-island cotton)
Lineage: Eukaryota; Viridiplantae; Streptophyta; Magnoliopsida; Malvales; Malvaceae
Description: long non-coding RNA (GBAR_LNC003364)
Source: RNAcentral